ACUCCUGCGGGAGGCAGCAGUAGGGAAUCUUCGGCAAUGGGGGCAACCCUGACCGAGCAACGCCGCGUGAGUGAAGAAGGUUUUCGGAUCGUAAAGCUCUGUUGUAAGUCAAGAACGGGUGUGAGAGUGGAAAGUUCACACUGUGACGGUAGCUUACCAGAAAGGGACGGCUAACUACGUGCCAGCAGCCGCGGUAAUACGUAGGUCCCGAGCGUUGUCCGGAUUUAUUGGGCGUAAAGCGAGCGCAGGCGGUUUGAUAAGUCUGAAGUUAAAGGCUGUGGCUCAACCAUAGUUCGCUUUGGAAACUGUCAAACUUGAGUGCAGAAGGGGAGAGUGGAAUUCCAUGUGUAGCGGUGAAAUGCGUAGAUAUAUGGAGGAACACCGGUGGCGAAAGCGGCUCUCUGGUCUGUAACUGACGCUGAGGCUCGAAAGCGUGGGGAGCGAACAGGAUUAGAUACCCGGGUAGUCCCA
Molecule: ribosomal RNA, 471 nt
Filed under: uncultured organism
Description: partial 16S ribosomal RNA
Rfam family: Bacterial small subunit ribosomal RNA
Source: RNAcentral